This 1449-nucleotide long non-coding RNA is filed under the name Betta splendens (Siamese fighting fish). RNAcentral's name for it is "lncRNA (ENSBSLG00000021177.1)". The record is from RNAcentral. Lineage: Eukaryota; Metazoa; Chordata; Actinopteri; Anabantiformes; Osphronemidae.
AUGUGCGUCGGGGUCAGAGCGCGCAUUGUUUACACCGCGGAGCAGCUGAUCGCGCUGCGCAGCGCCGUAGUUCUGCCCAGAGACAGACACGAGAUCACCGCUGAGGUGCUGGUGAAGACUCGACGUGGGCGCCGCCCCGGAAAACUACGACGGGAGAAAACGAGACGCUUCAGGCCCGCUGUCCCCGCCGUCAUCAUGGGGAACGUGAGAUCUCUCCCCAACAAGAUGGACGAGCUCGCGGCGCUCACACGGUACCAGCCGGAGUACAGAACGAGCAGCGUCCUGCUGUUCACGGAGACCUGGCUGACGUCACUCAUCCCGGACUCGACUGUCGCACUGGACAAUUUUCAUCUGCUGCGUGCGGACAGAACGGAGAACAGCGGUAAGAGGAAGGGAGGGGGUCUGGCUGUGUUUGUGAACAUCAGGUGGUGUAUGCCAGGACAUUGCACUGUCAAAAUGAAGCUGUGUUACAGAGACAUUGAGCCGUUAGCGGUGGGCAUGAGGCCAUUCUACCUGCCAAGGGAGUUCACACACGUUAUAAUAAUUGCUGUGUACGUCCCACCCUCCGCUAACGCUGACACAGCUUCUGAGACCCUGCUCUCAGUCACCAGCAGGCUGCAAACACAGCACCCACAGGCCCUCUUCCUGAUCUCUGGGGACUUUAACCAUGCACCUCCUUCAGCUGCUCUGCCUACAUACACCCAGUAUGUGACCUGCCCCACCAGAGACAAUAAAACACUAGACUUAUUCUAUGCCAACACCAAAGAGGCCUACGCUGCAUCCUCCCUCCCACCGCUGGGCAGAGCUGACCACAACAUCCUGCAUCUCCUGUCUGUGUAUAAACCUGUUGUACACAGGCAGCCGGUGGUGCCCCGCACAGUGAAGAGGUGGACAGCUGAGAGCGAGGAGGCUCUCAGGGACUGUUUUAACACCACUGUGUGGACGGAGCUCUGCGACCCACAUGGGGAGGACAUUAACGCAAUAACAGACUGUGUAACGGACUACAUCAACUUCUGCUGUGAAAACACUGUUCCCACCAGGCGGGUUCGGUGUUUCACAAACAGCAAGCCAUGGGUCACCCCUGAUAUUAAAGCUCUGCUAAAGGAGAAGAAGAGAGCAUUUAAAUCAGGGGACAGGGAGGAGCUGAGGAGGGUGCAGAAGGAGCUGAGGAGGAAAAUCCGUGAGGGGAAGUCCAGCUACAGGAGGAAGAUGGAGGAGCAGCUGCAGCAGAACAAUGUCAGUGAGGUGUGGAGGAGCCUGAAAACCAUCUCAGGCUUCAAAGCUCCACACCCACAGGCUGAGGGGGACCUGAGCUGGGUCAACGAGCUGAACUCACACUUUAAUAGGUUUGACCAAGCACCCACUCACACCUCCCAGCAGCUGCCUCCGAACCUCUUGUCACCUCAUACCACUGGAUUACCAGCCCCCACUGUCAGUAACGGCAUAUAA